GGUUCUCCCCGAAAGCUAUUUAGGUAGCGCCUCGUGAAUUCAUCUCCGGGGGUAGAGCACUGUUUCGGCAAGGGGGUCAUCCCGACUUACCAACCCGAUGCAAACUGCGAAUACCGGAGAAUGUUAUCACGGGAGACACACGGCGGGUGCUAACGUCCGUCGUGAAGAGGGAAACAACCCAGACCGCCAGCUAAGGUCCCAAAGUCAUGGUUAAGUGGGAAACGAUGUGGGAAGGCCCAGACAGCCAGGAUGUUGGCUUAGAAGCAGCCAUCAUUUAAAGAAAGCGUAAUAGCUCACUGGUCGAGUCGGCCUGCGCGGAAGAUGUAACGGGGCUAAACCAUGCACCGAAGCUGCGGCAGCGACACUAUGUGUUGUUGGGUAGGGGAGCGUUCUGUAAGCCUGUGAAGGUGUACUGUGAGGUAUGCUGGAGGUAUCAGAAGUGCGAAUGCUGACAUAAGUAACGAUAAAGCGGGUGAAAAGCCCGCUCGCCGGAAGACCAAGGGUUCCUGUCCAACGUUAAUCGGGGCAGGGUGAGUCGACCCCUAAGG
This 548-nucleotide ribosomal RNA is filed under the name Escherichia coli. Its description in RNAcentral is "partial 23S ribosomal RNA". It matches the Rfam family "Bacterial large subunit ribosomal RNA", at positions 851 to 1396 of the family's 2925-position model. The record is from RNAcentral. Lineage: Bacteria; Pseudomonadati; Pseudomonadota; Gammaproteobacteria; Enterobacterales; Enterobacteriaceae.